ACGGAUAACAUACCGAAAGGUAUGCUAAUACGGGAUAAUAUAUUUGAGAGGCAUCUCUUAAAUAUCAAAGGUGAGCCAGUACAGGAUGGACCCGCGUCUGAUUAGCUAGUUGGUAAGGUAACGGCUUACCAAGGCGACGAUCAGUAGCCGACCUGAGAGGGUGAUCGGCCACAUUGGAACUGAGACACGGUCCAAACUCCUACGGGAGGCAGCAGUAGGGAAUAUUGCACAAUGGGCGAAAGCCUGAUGCAGCAGCGCCGCGUGAGUGAUGAAGGCCUUCGGGUCGUAAAACUCUGUCCUCAAGGAAGAUAAUGACGGUACUUGAGGAGGAAGCCCCGGCUAACUACGUGCCAGCAGCCGCGGUAAUACGUAGGGGGCUAGCGUUAUCCGGAUUUACUGGGCGUAAAGGGUGCGUAGGCGGUCUUUCAAGUCAGGAGUGAAAGGCUACGGCUCAACCGUAGUAAGCUCUUGAAACUGGGAGACUUGAGUGCAGGAGAGGAGAGUGGAAUUCCUAGUGUAGCGGUGAAAUGCGUAGAUAUUAGGAGGAACACCAGUUGCGAAGGCGGCUCUCUGGACUGUAACUGACGUUGAGGCACGAAAGCGUGGGGAGCAAACAGGAUUAGAUACCCUGGUAGUCCACGCUGUAAACGAUGAGUACUAGGUGUCGGGGGUUACCCCCUUCGGUGCCGCAG
This 692-nucleotide ribosomal RNA is filed under the name uncultured bacterium. RNAcentral describes it as "bacterial SSU rRNA". It matches the Rfam family "Bacterial small subunit ribosomal RNA", at positions 139 to 851 of the family's 1533-position model. The record is from RNAcentral.